RNAcentral lists this long non-coding RNA (1318 nucleotides) under Marmota monax (woodchuck). Lineage: Eukaryota; Metazoa; Chordata; Mammalia; Rodentia; Sciuridae. The record is from RNAcentral.
AGAGCGUGGGAGAGAACCUGCAUUCUGUUUCCGACCUCCCCCUCCUAGUCUUUAUCUUAACCUUGACGGAACAUUGAAGAUUUAAAAGGUAUAAAUAAGUCAAGUUUCUUAACACUCCUCACAGAACCAAGCUGUAAAUGUGGAAUGUACGAAUCACAGUGAGUGAGAACGUGAAGCUGCCAAGUCGGGAGUACAGAGUCCUCUGCCAUCUCCUGAGCACUGAGUCGUCAGAGUCCAUGACUCACAGGAUCAGCGGCAGUUCCCAGGCCCGAGACAGCACCACGGGAGGAAGGUCGGGGUGGAAAUAGGGGCGUGGUGCUCAAGUCGCUCUGACCGGCUCUUUGGCAGACUCCUGCUAGCAGUGACAAGCAUGAAGUAUCGAGGGUGACGUCCACUGUACUGACAGCACCCACCCUGCGGGGGUCCCUGGACUUCCAGGAUGCCUGUACUCGUUGGGGAUUGACGUGAUUUCUCUACGGCUCAGAGGCUCUAACUUUUACCUUCCUCAGGCGAGAGCACUUCCAACAGCCUUCGGGCCCGUGUUCAGUUCCCGACGUCUGCAUACGAAGUCCCGUGGUGCCACUUUAGAUGCCGUGUGUGGUGCCGGGCCUUGUCACGGCCGAGUGUCCACUGGGCUGGGGAGUACUCUUCGCCUCCAGAGGGAGGGAGGGACGCAAUGUGGCGUUCAAGCUCUUGCCUUGCGGCCUUACGCCCUGGAGCUCCCGCGGGGGUCUGGAUGGAGCUGAGGAGGAGACAGGGUCAGGAAAGCCGCCGUGCUCCCUGUGGACCAGUGUUUCAGGCUCUGCUCAGGGUUGAACCCUCUGGGUCUGCCAGUCACUGGCAGCCUGUCCCCUUUCUGUGACCCAGGACAUUCAUCUAGGUCUCUGUGGCCCUUGGAUCUUGUAGUGUUCUCCUUACUGUGCUGCCCUGAGCUCCUCGGAUGGGGACAGAGUCACCGACCUGUGAUCUCUACGUGUUUGCAGAGACUAGAAGGACGUUACAAGGACUUGCAGAACUGAAUUUGCUUUAAGUCACCAUUUCAGCGACUUUAUAGCAGUUUCCUACUGGGACAUUAUAAAACCCAAUAUCUGUUCUUAAAAUUCAUGAAGAGCUCUUAGUAACAUUUCUCCUUCCUUUUGAUCCUCCUUCAGUGUUUAAAAAUGAACUAAAGGACUUGACUUGGACUGCUGAGAUUCAAGAGCACGCACCACUCGUUUCUGUCUAGAAUUCAUAAUGGUAAUGCCUCUCCUCACUCAUUUCAAUAGGAGGUUUAUAGCCAAUUUUUCUUUCUUUUUAAAAUAUUUUUUAGUUGUAGAUG